This 21-nucleotide non-coding RNA is filed under the name Arabidopsis thaliana (thale cress). The record is from RNAcentral. Lineage: Eukaryota; Viridiplantae; Streptophyta; Magnoliopsida; Brassicales; Brassicaceae.
GGAUUCGUCGACCAGGUCCGA